RNAcentral lists this transfer RNA (66 nucleotides) under human gut metagenome. It matches the Rfam family "tRNA", at positions 5 to 66 of the family's 71-position model. Rfam says of the family: Transfer RNA (tRNA) molecules are approximately 80 nucleotides in length. Their secondary structure includes four short double-helical elements and three loops (D, anti-codon, and T loops). RNAcentral also lists the same sequence under 1 other name. The record is from RNAcentral.
AAUUAGCUCAGUUGGUAGAGCACUCGGCUGUUAACCGAUAGGUCGUAGGUUCGAGUCCUACAUUGG